Molecule: ribosomal RNA, 492 nt
Filed under: uncultured bacterium
Lineage: Bacteria
Description: partial 16S ribosomal RNA
Rfam family: Bacterial small subunit ribosomal RNA
Source: RNAcentral
AGUGAACGCUGGCGGUAUGCCUAACACAUGCAAGUCGAACGGCAGCACAGUAAGAGCUUGCUCUUACGGGUGGCGAGUGGCGGACGGGUGAGGCAUACAUCGGAAUCUACUUUUUCGUGGGGGAUAACGUAGGGAAACUUACGCUAAUACCGCAUACGACCUACGGGUGAAAGCAGGGGAUCUUCGGACCUUGCGCGAUUGAAUGAGCCGAUGUCGGAUUAGCUAGUUGGCGGGGUAAAGGCCCACCAAGGCGACGAUCCGUAGCUGGUCUGAGAGGAUGAUCAGCCACACUGGAACUGAGACACGGUCCAGACUCCUACGGGAGGCAGCAGUGGGGAAUAUUGGACAAUGGGCGCAAGCCUGAUCCAGCCAUACCGCGUGGGUGAAGAAGGCCUUCGGGUUGUAAAGCCCUUUUGUUGGGAAAGAAAAGCAGCAGGUUAAUACCCCGCUGUUCUGACGGUACCCAAAGAAUAAGCACCGGCUAACUUCGUG